GACGAACGCUGGCGGCGUGCUUAACACAUGCAAGUCGAACGGUAAGGCCCUUCGGGGUACACGAGUUGCGAACGGGUGAGUAACACGUGGGUGAUCUGCCCUGCACUUCGGGAUAAGCCUGGGAAACUGGGUCUAAUACCGGAUAGGACCACUGCCUGCAGGGGGGGUGGUGGUAAGCGUUUGCGGUGUGGGAUGGGCCCGGGGCCUAUCAGCUUGUUGGUGGGGUGAUGGCCUACCAAGGCGACGACGGGUAGCGGGCCUGAGAGGGGGACCGGCCACACUGGGACUGAGAUACGGCCCAGACGCCUACGGGAGGCAGCAGUGGGGAAUAUUGCACAAUGGGCGCAAGCCUGAUGCAGCGACGCCGCGUGAGGGAUGAUGGCCUUCGGGUUGUAAACCUCUUUCAGCACCGACGAAGCGCAAGUGACGGUAGGUGCAGAAGAAGGACCGGCCAACUACGUGCCAGCCGCCGCCGUAA
RNAcentral lists this ribosomal RNA (478 nucleotides) under uncultured bacterium. RNAcentral describes it as "partial 16S ribosomal RNA". It matches the Rfam family "Bacterial small subunit ribosomal RNA", at positions 28 to 523 of the family's 1533-position model. The record is from RNAcentral.